UACGUAGGUGGCAAGCGUUGUCCGGAUUUAUUGGGUUUAAAGGGUGCGUAGGCGGUCCUAUAAGUCAGUUGUGAAAUACGGCAGCUUAACUGUCGAGGUGCAAUUGAUACUGCAGGACUUGAGUACAGACGAGGUAGGCGGAAUUGACGGUGUAGCGGUGAAAUGCUUAGAUAUCGUCAAGAACACCGAUAGCGAAGGCAGCUUACUAGACUGUAACUGACGCUGAGGCACGAAAAGUGUGGGGAUCAAAACAGG
Molecule: ribosomal RNA, 255 nt
Filed under: uncultured bacterium
Lineage: Bacteria
Description: partial 16S ribosomal RNA
Rfam family: Bacterial small subunit ribosomal RNA
Source: RNAcentral